This 326-nucleotide ribosomal RNA is filed under the name uncultured eukaryote. Its description in RNAcentral is "partial 18S ribosomal RNA". It matches the Rfam family "Eukaryotic small subunit ribosomal RNA", at positions 1470 to 1796 of the family's 1831-position model. The record is from RNAcentral.
CCCUUAGAUGUUCUGGGCUGCACGCGCGCUACACUGAUGCAUGCAACGAGUUUUCGACCUUGCCUGAAAAGGUUGGGUAAUCUGUUUAACAUGUGUCGUGAUGGGGAUAGACCAUUGCAAUUAUUGAUCUUCAACGAGGAAUUCCUAGUAAGCGCGAGUCAUCAGCUCGUGCUGAUUAUGUCCCUGCCCUUUGUACACACCGCCUGUCGCUCCUACCGAUUGAGUGAUCCGGUGAAUGAUUCGGACCAGCGUGCUGCUCAGAUCCUGCGCAGUGUGCUGGGAAGUCUAGUGAACCUUAUCACUUAGAGGAAGGAGAAGUCGUAACA